This 200-nucleotide long non-coding RNA is filed under the name Lathyrus oleraceus (garden pea). RNAcentral describes it as "Pisum sativum (pea) long non-coding RNA (PSAT_LNC016031)". The record is from RNAcentral. Lineage: Eukaryota; Viridiplantae; Streptophyta; Magnoliopsida; Fabales; Fabaceae.
AAACAUAAUAUUCAAGAAGUACAAACCAUCAUUAUACACAGCUAUGAUAGCUGAGAUAAUGAACAAAUCCAAGGAAUUCUUUAAGAUCCCUAAAUAUUACAAAACAGGCAUCAAUGAGGACUGCCACACAUUACACAAUUGCAAAAAAAACAAAACAAACUUCAGCAUCCAUACAGCACCAACAAAACAUCACCCACAAC